Molecule: ribosomal RNA, 406 nt
Filed under: uncultured bacterium
Lineage: Bacteria
Description: partial 16S ribosomal RNA
Rfam family: Bacterial small subunit ribosomal RNA
Source: RNAcentral
AUUGAACGCUGGCGGCAGGCCUAACACAUGCAAGUCGAGCGAGCGGCGGACGGGUGAGUAAUGUCUGGGGAACUGCCCGAUAGAGGGGGAUAACUACUGGAAACGGUAGCUAAUACCGCAUACCAUCGGAUGUACCCAGAUGGGAUUAGCUAGUAGGUGAGGUAAUGGCUCACCUAGGCGACGAUCCCUAGCUGGUCUGAGAGGAUGAGCAGCCACACUGGGACUGAGACACGGCCCAGACUCCUACGGGAGGCAGCAGUGGGGAAUAUUGCACAAUGGGCGCAAGCCUGAUGCAGCCAUGCCGCGUGUGUGAAGAAGGCCUUAGGGUUGUAAAGUACUUUCAGUGGGGAGGCGUUACCGACAGAAGAAGCACCGGCUAACUCCGUGCCAGCAGCCGCGGUAAUAC